Molecule: ribosomal RNA, 207 nt
Filed under: uncultured bacterium
Lineage: Bacteria
Description: partial 16S ribosomal RNA
Rfam family: Bacterial small subunit ribosomal RNA
Source: RNAcentral
CGCGCAGGCGGACUAUUAAGUCAGGGGUGAAAUCCCGGGGCUCAACCCCGGAACUGCCCUUGAUACUGGUAGUCUUGAGUUCGAGAGAGGUGAGUGGAAUUCCGAGUGUAGAGGUGAAAUUCGUAGAUAUUCGGAGGAACACCAGUGGCGAAGGCGGCUCACUGGCUCGAUACUGACGCUGAGGUGCGAAAGCGUGGGGAGCAAACA